AUGCUCAAAGUUGUCACCUUUGAUUGGUGCCUUCAAGGACCCAAAUCCCAGGUCCCAGCUACACCUUCUUCCAUACAACAUCUCAUUUCCUUUCGCUUCCAAUCCAUUGAUGUGCAGUGCACAUCACCCUCCUCCAAGUCAAGCAAGAUGGAUGCCCAGGGCGCCCUCGACUCGCUCCUGGGCCGCCUCACCGCCAUCCUUGCCGACGAGGCGCGACUGCUCGGUGGCCUCCACGGCGACGUGCAGUUCAUCAAGGAUGAGAUGGGGAGCAUGAAUGGCCUGCUCCUCCACCUUACCGAGGCUGACCACCGCGACCACCAUGUUCGUGCUUGGAUGAAGCAAGUUGUUGGCCUCACUCGCGACUGUGAGGGCAACGUCGAGCUCUACAUCCACAACGUUACAGGCGCUGGCCACCAUGGUGGUGGCUUCUUGGGCUACUUGCGACACAUUGUCCGCUAUGUGCACACCAUUCCGGAGAGGCACCGGAUUGCAACUAGGAUCCAGGAGCUCAAGGUCAGGGCUCGCGACGUGGGCGACAGGAAGCUGAGGUACGGUGUCACCGUGCCACCAGCUGCUGACCAAGAUGAUGCGAUAUUCAUGGACGAUGCAUACAAGCACCAGGGGCAGGAAGAAGAGGAGAAUGAUGCUUGGAGACGCUUUCAUCUUGUUUAUUAUCCAGAGGAUGAAGAGGCUUACCUACAGAAAAUCAUCGAUGAUAACAUCAAGUCCGUGUUGCCUGAGGAAGAACCGGUUGAAGAGCUGACAAGUGGGGAAUCAAAGCCGAGGAUAUUCCUUAUGAUGUUCAGCCAACAUGAUUUGGCAGACAAAAGUAAUUUCUUACAUUCUAGUAUUACUGAGGGACUGUAUGAGCAGAAAAUGGGAUCAUUUAGUUGCAAAGCCUUGGUCAAUGUGUACACAAAUGGGGACUUCAAAUCUUUGGCUGUAAUACUGGGGGAAAUACUGGACCAAGUGGAAGCAGAGAAGAGUACGGAAACCUCACCGGGUGAUAACGAGAAGGAUGAGGCGAUGCAACUCACCAAGAAACUUGAGGGGUAUCUCAAAGGUAAACGAUUCUUGAUCAUUCUGCAAGGUGUCAAUUCCACGGAUAAUUGGAAUAGCAUAAGGUCUGCUGUAUUACGUGCUACUGCUCAUGGCUCUCCUGGCAGCACUAUAGUCAUUACCACAAAUUCUUAUGACUUAGUAUGUGAGUCCCCUUAUGAAAUCGUCAAACCACAAGGUCUAUUAGAUUAUUGGCGUGAUAAAACCAUGAUGCUUUUUGGUGAGAUCAUUAUUCCAUAUGAAAGGGAAAGUUAUGUGUCAACCGUUGCAGCAUUAUGUCGACACGACCGCUUUGCAAUGAAGAUGAUCCAACAUCUUUUGUAUGUUUACCCUUUAAGGAGUGUUCCACAGCUAGAGAAUAUUAUAGCAACCUUACGUGAUUGUCAGAAGUCGAACAAAAAUUUGGGAAAGCAUAUGUUAAGGCUUUCCUAUAAUAAACUACCUAGCAAGUAUAGGAGAUGCUUGCUGUACCUAAGUAUCUUCCCAAAAGGUGACCGCAUUAGGAGAACAACUGUGUGUAGAAGAUGGAUAACCGAAGGACUGAUAACAUCAAGGGAGAAUCAUGCAGACUACGAGGCUUAUUGCUGCUUCGAUGUGCUCUUCUUGUCGGGUUUCAUUCAACCUGUGGAGAUAAGUGACAUGGGCAAGAUCAAGACCUUCACAUUACAUCCUAUUGUUCAUGAAUCCAUCAGCAGGAUUGGUAAAGAUCUAAACUUUGUGGACACGGUUCUUCCGUCCGAUCUGACUCGCCACCUUCCAAUUCAUAGCAGAACUAGGGUGCAAGCAUCUCACGUGGAUCAUUCCGUGCAAGCAGCUGCUGGCAGUGGCAUUGUAGCAUUUCUUCCGUAUUUGGCAAAGUCAUCUCAAUGGCAGCUAAUGAAGAUGCUGGAUCUAGAAGGUUGCAGAGGCUUAAAGAAGCAACAUUUGAAGAGCAUCUGUAAAAUAAUACUGCUCAAAUACUUGAGCCUCAGGAACACAGAUAUCACUGAACUGCCUAAGCAAAUCAAGAAGCUGCAGCGGCUAGAGACGUUGGACAUCCGGCAAACAGCGGUACAGUCAUUCCCAACAAAAUCAAUCAUGCUUCCUAUGCUAAAGCAUCUGCUUGCUGGCCAGGGCAACAACUCUGAUAGGUUUCAGGAGUCAUUUACGGCUAUGCGCCUUCCCAGCGGUGUCAGAGGAAUGAAGAAAUUAGAGAUAUUGUCUCGUGUUGUUUCUGACAAUGCUGAUGAUUCAAUUGAUGUUGGUCAUCUGUUACAGCUGAGGAAAUUGGGUGUGAUUCUUUCUGGUAAGAAAGGUAGCUUCGGUCAUCUAUUGCAACAGGUUGAGAAAUUGCAUGGUAGCCUCCUCUCCUUGUCAAUCCAGAUCAACCAAACACCCGAAGUUGGGGAUACUCUUGGUGCAGAGGAGGUGGUCACAUUAGUCUCGCCUCCGAAACUUCUUCAAAGCCUGAAAAUCAGCGGCAUCACAAGUGGGCUCCUCUUGUGGAUUGCAGAGCUUGAUCAGCUUACCAAGUUAACACUGAGCGAGACUUACCUGACAGAAGACUAUAUAUGCAUCCUUGGCAAACUUGCAGCUCUGCGUUGUCUCAGUCUUCGGCGCAAUUCAUACACCGGAAGCGGGCUAACAUUCAAGGAAGGGGAGUUUAAGAGCCUCAAGUCUUUGGUCGUCGAUGGCGACAUCAUCACCAACAUUACCUUUGACACUAAAGCGGCUCCCAAGCUUGAGACGAUUGUGUGGUCUUUCGCCAAAAUGGAGUCUAUUUCUGGAUUACGCGACCUUUGGUCGUUGAAGAAGCUCGAGCUCAAUGGUGACUGCAACCCAGGCCCAGUGAGAAGAGCACUUGGAAAGCACCCAUAUGAUCCUGAAUUUAAGCACAACCCACGCCAUGGACACCAAGAAGAUGGAGCUGUUGUUGCUGCCUCACCCCCAUGA
This 2991-nucleotide ribosomal RNA is filed under the name Triticum aestivum (bread wheat). RNAcentral's name for it is "partial small subunit ribosomal RNA". The record is from RNAcentral. Lineage: Eukaryota; Viridiplantae; Streptophyta; Magnoliopsida; Poales; Poaceae.